This 460-nucleotide ribosomal RNA is filed under the name uncultured bacterium. RNAcentral's name for it is "partial 16S ribosomal RNA". It matches the Rfam family "Bacterial small subunit ribosomal RNA", at positions 338 to 795 of the family's 1533-position model. The record is from RNAcentral.
CCUACGGGUGGCAGCAGUGAGGAAUAUUUGUCAAUGGGCGAGAGCCUGAACCAGCCAAGUCGCGUGAAGGAUGAAGGAUCUAUGGUUUGUAAACUUCUUUUAUAUGGGAAUAAAGUAAGGAGCGUGUUCCUUUUUGUGUAUACCAUAUGAAUAAGCAUCGGCUAACUCCGUGCCAGCAGCCGCGGUAAUACGGAGGAGGCGAGAGUUAUCCGGAUUUAUUGGGUUUAAGGGGUGCGUAGGUGGUUAAUUAAGUCAGCGGUGAAAUUUUGUGGCUCAACCAUAAAAGUGCCGUUGAAACUGGUUGACUUGAGUAUAUUAGAGGUAGGCGGAAUGCGUGGUGUAGCGGUGAAAUGCAUAGAUAUCACGCAGAACUCUGAUGGCGAAGGCAGCUUACUAAACUAUAACUGACACUGAAGCACGAAAGCGUGGGGAUCAAACAGGAUUAGAUACCCGUGUAGUC